RNAcentral lists this ribosomal RNA (301 nucleotides) under uncultured bacterium. Its description in RNAcentral is "partial 16S ribosomal RNA". It matches the Rfam family "Bacterial small subunit ribosomal RNA", at positions 509 to 807 of the family's 1533-position model. The record is from RNAcentral.
CAGUCGCCACGGUAAUACGAAGGGGGCUAGCGUUGCUCGGAAUGACUGGGCGUAAAGGGCGCGUAGGCGGAUUGUUUAGUUAGGCGUGAAAUUCCUGGGCUUAACCUGGGGACUGCGCUUAAUACAGGCAGUCUAGAGUGAGGAAGAGGGUUGUGGAAUUCCCAGUGUAGAGGUGAAAUUCGUAGAUAUUGGGAAGAACACCGGUGGCGAAGGCGGCAGCCUGGUCCUUGACUGACGCUGAGGCGCGAAAGCGUGGGGAGCAAACAGGAUUAGAUACCCCCGUAGUCCCUGUCUCUUAUAC